UUAAGCGACUAAGCGUACACGGUGGAUGCCCUGGCAGUCAGAGGCGAUGAAGGACGUGCUAAUCUGCGAAAAGCGUCGGUAAGGUGAUAUGAACCGUUACAGCCGGCGAUGUCCGAAUGGGGAAACCCAGUGCAAUUCGUUGCACUAUCGUUAACUGAAUACAUAGGUUAACGAGGCGAACCGGGGGAACUGAAACAUCUAAGUACCCCGAGGAAAAGAAAUCAACCGAGAUUCCCCCAGUAGCGGCGAGCGAACGGGGAGCAGCCCAGAGUCUGAAUCAGCUUGUGUGUUAGUGGAACGGUCUGGAAAGUCCGACGGUACAGGGUGAUAGUCCCGUACACCAAAAUGCACAGGCUGUGAACUCGAAGAGUAGGGCGGGACACGUGGUAUCCUGUCUGAAUAUGGGGGGACCAUCCUCCAAGGCUAAAUACUCCUGACUGACCGAUAGUGAACCAGUACCGUGAGGGAAAGGCGAAAAGAACCCCGGCGAGGGGAGUGAAAAAGAACCUGAAACCGUGUACGUACAAGCAGUGGGAGCACCUUCGGGUGUGACUGCGUACCUUUUGUAUAAUGGGUCAGCGACUUAUAUUCUGUAGCAAGGUUAACCGUAUAGGGGAGCCGCAGGGAAACCGAGUCUUAACUGGGCGUUAAGUUGCAGGGUAUAGACCCGAAACCCGGUGAUCUAGCCAUGGGCAGGUUGAAGGUUGGGUAACACUAACUGGAGGACCGAACCGACUAAUGUUGAAAAAUUAGCGGAUGACUUGUGGCUGGGGGUGAAAGGCCAAUCAAACCGGGAGAUAGCUGGUUCUCCCCGAAAGCUAUUUAGGUAGCGCCUCGUGAACUCAUCUUCGGGGGUAGAGCACUGUUUCGGCUAGGGGGUCAUCCCGACUUACCAACCCGAUGCAAACUACGAAUACCGAAGAAUGUUAUCACGGGAGACACACGGCGGGUGCUAACGUCCGUCGUGAAGAGGGAAACAACCCAGACCGCCAGCUAAGGUCCCAAAGUCAUGGUUAAGUGGGAAACGAUGUGGGAAGGCACAGACAGCCAGGAUGUUGGCUUAGAAGCAGCCAUCAUUUAAAGAAAGCGUAAUAGCUCACUGGUCGAGUCGGCCUGCGCGGAAGAUGUAACGGGGCUAAACCAUGCACCGAAGCUGCGGCAGCGACACUAUGUGUUGUUGGGUAGGGGAGCGUUCUGUAAGCCUGCGAAGGUGUGCUGUGAGGCAUGCUGGAGGUAUCAGAAGUGCGAAUGCUGACAUAAGUAACGAUAAAGCGGGUGAAAAGCCCGCUCGCCGGAAGACCAAGGGUUCCUGUCCAACGUUAAUCGGGGCAGGGUGAGUCGACCCCUAAGGCGAGGCCGAAAGGCGUAGUCGAUGGGAAACAGGUUAAUAUUCCUGUACUUGGUGUUACUGCGAAGGGGGGACGGAGAAGGCUAUGUUAGCCGGGCGACGGUUGUCCCGGUUUAAGCAUGUAGGCUGAUUAUCCAGGCAAAUCCGGAUAAUCAAGGCUGAGGUGUGAUGACGAGGCACUACGGUGCUGAAGUAACAAAUGCCCUGCUUCCAGGAAAAGCCUCUAAGCAUCAGGUAACAUCAAAUCGUACCCCAAACCGACACAGGUGGUCAGGUAGAGAAUACCAAGGCGCUUGAGAGAACUCGGGUGAAGGAACUAGGCAAAAUGGUGCCGUAACUUCGGGAGAAGGCACGCUGGUGUGUAGGUGAAGUCCCUGCGGAUGGAGCUGAGACCAGUCGAAGAUACCAGCUGGCUGCAACUGUUUAUUAAAAACACAGCACUGUGCAAACACGAAAGUGGACGUAUACGGUGUGACGCCUGCCCGGUGCCGGAAGGUUAAUUGAUGGGGUUAUCCGUAAGGAGAAGCUCUUGAUCGAAGCCCCGGUAAACGGCGGCCGUAACUAUAACGGUCCUAAGGUAGCGAAAUUCCUUGUCGGGUAAGUUCCGACCUGCACGAAUGGCGUAAUGAUGGCCAGGCUGUCUCCACCCGAGACUCAGUGAAAUUGAACUCGCUGUGAAGAUGCAGUGUACCCGCGGCAAGACGGAAAGACCCCGUGAACCUUUACUAUAGCUUGACACUGAACAUUGAGCCUUGAUGUGUAGGAUAGGUGGGAGGCUUUGAAGCGUGGACGCCAGUCUGCGUGGAGCCAACCUUGAAAUACCACCCUUUAAUGUUUGAUGUUCUAACGUUGGCCCCUGACCGGGGUUGCGGACAGUGUCUGGUGGGUAGUUUGACUGGGGCGGUCUCCUCCCAAAGCGUAACGGAGGAGCACGAAGGUUAGCUAAUCCUGGUCGGACAUCAGGAGGUUAGUGCAAUGGCAUAAGCUAGCUUGACUGCGAGCGUGACGGCGCGAGCAGGUGCGAAAGCAGGUCAUAGUGAUCCGGUGGUUCUGAAUGGAAGGGCCAUCGCUCAACGGAUAAAAGGUACUCCGGGGAUAACAGGCUGAUACCGCCCAAGAGUUCAUAUCGACGGCGGUGUUUGGCACCUCGAUGUCGGCUCAUCACAUCCUGGGGCUGAAGUAGGUCCCAAGGGUAUGGCUGUUCGCCAUUUAAAGUGGUACGCGAGCUGGGUUUAGAACGUCGUGAGACAGUUCGGUCCCUAUCUGCCGUGGGCGCUGGAGAAUUGAGGGGGGCUGCUCCUAGUACGAGAGGACCGGAGUGGACGCAUCACUGGUGUUCGGGUUGUCAUGCCAAUGGCACUGCCCGGUAGCUAAAUGCGGAAGAGAUAAGUGCUGAAAGCAUCUAAGCACGAAACUUGCCCCGAGAUGAGUUCUCCCUGAGACU
RNAcentral lists this ribosomal RNA (2792 nucleotides) under Klebsiella pneumoniae. RNAcentral's name for it is "bacterial LSU rRNA". It matches the Rfam family "Bacterial large subunit ribosomal RNA". Lineage: Bacteria; Pseudomonadati; Pseudomonadota; Gammaproteobacteria; Enterobacterales; Enterobacteriaceae. The record is from RNAcentral.